This 426-nucleotide ribosomal RNA is filed under the name uncultured bacterium. Its description in RNAcentral is "bacterial SSU rRNA". It matches the Rfam family "Bacterial small subunit ribosomal RNA", at positions 359 to 776 of the family's 1533-position model. The record is from RNAcentral.
GAAUUGUUCGCAAUGGGCGCAAGCCUGACGACGCAACGCCGCGUGGAGGAUGAAGAUCUUCGGGUCGUAAACUCCUUUCGAUCGAGACGAAUGACCUUCGGGUUCAUACCCCGGAGGAAUGACGGUACCGCGAGAAGAAGCCCCGGCUAACUCCGUGCCAGCAGCCGCGGUAAUACGGGGGGGGCAAGCGUUGUUCGGAAUUACUGGGCGUAAAGGGCUCGUAGGUGGCCAACUAAGUCAGACGUGAAAUCCCUCGGCUUAACCGGGGAACUGCGUCUGAUACUGGAUGGCUUGAGUUUGGGAGAGGGACGCGGAAUUCCAGGUGUAGCGGUGAAAUGCGUAGAUAUCUGGAGGAACACCGGUGGCGAAGGCGGCGUCCUGGACCAAUACUGACACUGAGGAGCGAAAGCCAGGGGAGCAAACGGG